RNAcentral lists this ribosomal RNA (253 nucleotides) under uncultured bacterium. RNAcentral's name for it is "partial 16S ribosomal RNA". It matches the Rfam family "Bacterial small subunit ribosomal RNA", at positions 524 to 776 of the family's 1533-position model. The record is from RNAcentral.
CACGUAGGGCGCAAGCGUUGUCCGGAAUUAUUGGGCGUAAAGAGCUCGUAGGCGGUCUGUUACGUCUGCUGUGAAAACCCGGGGCUUAACCCUGGGCUUGCAGUGGAUACGGGCAGACUAGAGGCAGGUAGGGGAGAAUGGAAUUCCCGGUGUAGCGGUGAAAUGCGCAGAUAUCGGGAGGAACACCGGUGGCGAAGGCGGUUCUCUGGGCCUGUUCUGACGCUGAGGAGCGAAAGCGUGGGGAGCGAACAGG